This is a long non-coding RNA of Orcinus orca (killer whale), 1882 nucleotides long. RefSeq lists it as uncharacterized. Lineage: Eukaryota; Metazoa; Chordata; Mammalia; Artiodactyla; Delphinidae. The transcript is spliced from 3 exons. The record is from RefSeq and is a predicted model, not a curated record.
CCUCAUCCCCCUCACUUGUGGGACACCUUGGACAUCGUAACUUGGUCGUGAGAAGCACUAAUCUAUUGAAUGAGCACCAGCGGGGACACCUGGAAUCCAUGCCGAGCACCACACAAACAUUUUUCAUGAAAAUUCCUCCAUCCUCAGAAAUGGGAUGAAUCAUUUUUACCUACUAAACCCAGAAUAAUUUUCGAUGUGAUGACAAGUAAUGGAAGAAGGGGCUCUGCAUGAUUCUGUGCCUAACCGAGUAGUCUAAUAACCAAGACUGAUGAUGCAAAGCCAAUGACCUAUUUAACGCUUCAUCCUUGCACCCUGACUUCUGCUCAGCAGUCUGAAGCAGCCCAGAGGACCUGAACCAGACGACUCGUUGAGGAAGUAAGUAAACUACCCCUACCCACGUCACGGCCCCCCUAUACAGAAGUGAGAGUAACUUCAAAAUUGGGUGGAAGGGUUUGCUACAAAGGCCUUUGGCCUCUUCCUGCCCAUGUUAAGCAACUCAGGCACACACUACUAGUGUCCUGGCAAGAAACUCUCUCACAAGAGCUGGAAGAAGACCAAAGAAGGCCAGAGCCUCCAAACAGAAGCUCAGUAGCAAAAGUGUUGGAGGGAGAGAAAUGAGGCAAUUACCCUGGGCUUACGGGCAGGUGACUCAGCACGCCUGCAAGAGAGGAGCUGUUGAUUCUGCAGGAGCUGGGGUUCGUGCUACCAUGGGGCUGGUGGAGAGGAAGAGGGAGGUUUACUCCUCAAGAAAAAGGGCAUGGUCCGGAGUGCAAAAAAGGAAAUGGCUUUCUCCGCCAAGGGAUUUCUGGUUUCUCCAUCCUUGCCUAGGGUUAAACCCUGUGAAAAAGAAAAUGCCCAGCAGGUGGCAGCACCUGACAACUGCAGUAAAACAAGGCUGUAAGGCAAAGCCUUCCUCUGGCGUAUGCUGCACUGUGCCUUUCUCGGUGGGAUUUCAUUUAGCCAUCCGUGAAUAGCUCCCUACAAAGAAGUGAACAUUGAGUUCAUUUCUGUGUUUCCAGAACCUAGCACCGUGCCUGGCACAUUCUGCGUGUAUCUGUUGAUUGAGUGGAUCAAGUAAUCAAUUAUUUCUUUUUCAAUAAAUAAAAUUUUAAAAUUCCCCUAAACGAGAAAAAAGUCGUCAUUUGAAGUGGCCCUAUUCCUUUCUUCUUAUCCCAUCACUACUACUGUCAUGUUAAUUACAAAUUUAAUUAGUUUUAGCAAUAAUAAUAACAAAGCCCCAUGCUAGAUUAAUUCUCUACUCACCCUUGGGCCAACCUACAUCCUUAUUCUACUUAAUUAAACUUUCCCUGUCUGCAAGAGGGAGGAGAGAUGGGGGUAUAGGUAUGUGUAUACCUGAUUCACUUUAUUAUACAGCAGAAACUAACACACCAUUGUAAAGCAAUUAUACUCCAAUAAAGAUGUUAAAAAAACUUUUUCCUGUCUCUUUCAGAGACUUUAAAAAAAUCAUGGGGUUUUAAAAAAAAACCCUGAGAUUUAUGAGGAAGGCAAUAAACAAUCAUUCGUUGAUUAGUUGUAGUUUUUAUAAGCUAUUUUUGUUGUUUUGUUUUUGUAUUUAUUUUUGGCUGUGUUGGGUCUUUGUUGCUGUGCACGGGCUUUCUCUAGUUGCAACAAGCGGGAGCUACUCUUCAUUGUGGUGCGCGGGCUUCUCAUUGCCGUGGCUUCUAUUGUUGCGGAGCACGGGCUCUAGGCACAUGGGCUUCAGUAGUUGUGGCACACGGGCUCAGUAGUUGUGGCUUGCAGGCUCUAGAGCGCAGGCUCAGUAGUUGUGGCGCACGGGCUUAGUUGCUCCACGGUAUGUGGGAUCUUCCCGGACCAGGGCUUGAACCUGUGUCCCCUGCAUUGGCAGGCAGGUUCUUAACCA